Ailuropoda melanoleuca (giant panda) is the source of this 1388-nucleotide long non-coding RNA. RefSeq lists it as uncharacterized. The record is from RefSeq and is a predicted model, not a curated record. Lineage: Eukaryota; Metazoa; Chordata; Mammalia; Carnivora; Ursidae. The transcript is spliced from 3 exons.
AGGUCGGUGCGGGGCGACGGGGCGACGGGGCAUCCGGCCCUCCCGGCGCGGGCGCAGGGGGGCCGCCCCAUUGCACGGUCGCGGAGACCGAGGCCCGCGGGGGCCGCGGCUGGCACCAUCGCCGGCGGGGCCCUGGAGACCCCGCCCGAGAGGGGGCGUUUCGGAGCCGGGGUCCCGGAACGUCGCCCGAAAGUGACACACCCAACAGCUGCCCGGGACGGAAAAACCUGAGCACAGGUCCCCAAGCUUCUAGCCUCUCGGCACCCAGGACAGCACGCUCCAGACGCUGAGGAUUCUCUCCAGAAGGUGGCACGGAAGUUGGACGGCUUUCACGUCGGAAAGGUCCUCUCAGGCCUAACUCCGGGGAAUGGUCUCCACCCUCUGCUGCGUCUGUGAGCCACCGCCCAGGUCACCUAGCUAGCUGAGGCUGCAGAGGCAAUGUGACCGAGGUGUCCCCAAACCCCUUCCUCAUUCAGCUACCCCACUCCAGCCCUGACCUGGGGACGGGAGGAGGCUGGGCCCAGCUCCCCACAGCCCAGACUCCUGGAUAGGGCCACACGGCAUUCUAGGCCCUUCCGACUACCCCUGGGCCAGGUUCCCUGUUGUGUGCCAAGCCUGGGACAAGGCUCAUGAAAUAGAAAACCAAGGGGCUCAGGGGCUGUGUUUUCUGCCCAGGGUUCCACAGCCAGAGAGGUGGUAGGACUGAGAUUCGAAGGCAAGCCUGUGGGACUCCUGCUCAACCACGUGGACGGUGAGGGGGUCUUGGUGUGUGGGAGAGGAGGUAGAGACGCUCUGGGGGAGAGCACGGUGAAGGACUGGCGAAGGAUGGCAGGAAAGGACAGGUGUGCAAGUGGCCUGGGCCUGAGAAGAUACACCAUUGAUUUUGAAGAAAAGAGAGGAAGGAAAGAGGACUGACAGAAGAAACUUGCAGACAAGGGGGUGGAAGGAAGGCCGCCAGAGGCAGACCCGGGGAGGUUGGAAGUCGCUGACCCCACGGAGCCUUGUGUAUUCUCUUUACACACCACCUGGUCAUUUACUCACUUACCAUUCCUCUGCCCGCAGGAAUGCGUGCUGUUCCCACUGGAGCCAAGCCUGGGGGUGGCUGCUAUUUAAAACAAAACGAAAGCAAACCCAGAAAAUGUAUAUUGGCAAGGAUACGGAAGAAAUGGAAAUCCUUGUGCCCUGUUGGUGAGAAUAUAAAAUGGAGUAGCCAUCAUGGAAAACAGUACGGCAGUUCCUCAAAGAAUUAAAAUGAACUUAUCAUGUGAUCCAGUAACCUCCCUUCUGGGUAUAUAUCCAAAAGGACUGGAGGCAGGGUCUUUUUUUUAUUUUCCUUAAGAUUUUAUUUAUUUAUUUGACAGAGAGAGACACAGCCAGUGAGAGAGGGA